RNAcentral lists this ribosomal RNA (248 nucleotides) under uncultured bacterium. Its description in RNAcentral is "partial 16S ribosomal RNA". It matches the Rfam family "Bacterial small subunit ribosomal RNA", at positions 527 to 779 of the family's 1533-position model. The record is from RNAcentral.
CGAAGGAGCUAGCGUUGUUCGGAAUCACUGGGCGUAAGCGCACGUAGGCGGAUGUGUCAGUCAGGGUGAAUCCCGGAGCUCAACUUCGGAACUGCCUUUGAUACAGCACAUCUGGAGUCCGGAAGAGGUGGUGGAAUUCCUAGUGUAGAGGUGAAAUUCGUAGAUAUUAGGAAGAACACCGGUGGCGAAGGCGGCCCACUGGUCCGGUACUGACGCUGAGGUGCGAAAGCGUGGGAGCAAACAGGAUU